RNAcentral lists this ribosomal RNA (873 nucleotides) under uncultured Pseudomonadales bacterium. RNAcentral's name for it is "bacterial SSU rRNA". It matches the Rfam family "Bacterial small subunit ribosomal RNA", at positions 28 to 896 of the family's 1533-position model. The record is from RNAcentral. Lineage: Bacteria; Pseudomonadati; Pseudomonadota; Gammaproteobacteria; Pseudomonadales.
AUUGAACGCUGGCGGCAGGCCUAACACAUGCAAGUCGAGCGGAUGAAGGGAGCUUGCUCCUGGAUUCAGCGGCGGACGGGUGAGUAAUGCCUAGGAAUCUGCCUGGUAGUGGGGGAUAACGUCCGGAAACGGGCGCUAAUACCGCAUACGUCCUGAGGGAGAAAGUGGGGGAUCUUCGGACCUCACGCUAUCAGAUGAGCCUAGGUCGGAUUAGCUAGUUGGUGGGGUAAGGGCCUACCAAGGCGACGAUCCGUAACUGGUCUGAGAGGAUGAUCAGUCACACUGGAACUGAGACACGGUCCAGACUCCUACGGGAGGCAGCAGUGGGGAAUAUUGGACAAUGGGCGAAAGCCUGAUCCAGCCAUGCCGCGUGUGUGAAGAAGGUCUUCGGAUUGUAAAGCACUUUAAGUUGGGAGGAAGGGCAGUAAGUUAAUACCUUGCUGUUUUGACGUUACCAACAGAAUAAGCACCGGCUAACUUCGUGCCAGCAGCCGCGGUAAUACGAAGGGUGCAAGCGUUAAUCGGAAUUACUGGGCGUAAAGCGCGCGUAGGUGGUUCAGCAAGUUGGAUGUGAAAUCCCCGGGCUCAACCUGGGAACUGCAUCCAAAACUACUGAGCUAGAGUACGGUAGAGGGUGGUGGAAUUUCCUGUGUAGCGGUGAAAUGCGUAGAUAUAGGAAGGAACACCAGUGGCGAAGGCGACCACCUGGACUGAUACUGACACUGAGGUGCGAAAGCGUGGGGAGCAAACAGGAUUAGAUACCCUGGUAGUCCACGCCGUAAACGAUGUCGACUAGCCGUUGGGAUCCUUGAGAUCUUAGUGGCGCAGCUAACGCGAUAAGUCGACCGCCUGGGGAGUACGGCCGCAAGGUUA